RNAcentral lists this ribosomal RNA (467 nucleotides) under uncultured bacterium. RNAcentral describes it as "partial 16S ribosomal RNA". It matches the Rfam family "Bacterial small subunit ribosomal RNA", at positions 28 to 506 of the family's 1533-position model. The record is from RNAcentral.
GACGAACGCUGGCGGCGUGCUUAACACAUGCAAGUCGAACGGAAAGGCCCUGCUUUUGUGGGGUGCUCGAGUGGCGAACGGGUGAGUAACACGUGAGUAACCUGCCCUUGACUUUGGGAUAACUUCAGGAAACUGGGGCUAAUACCGGAUAGGAGCUCCUGCUGCAUGGUGGGGGUUGGAAAGUUUCGGCGGUUGGGGAUGGACUCGCGGCUUAUCAGCUUGUUGGUGGGGUAGUGGCUUACCAAGGCUUUGACGGGUAGCCGGCCUGAGAGGGUGACCGGCCACAUUGGGACGGAGAGACGCCCCAGACUCCUACGGGAGGGAGGAGUGGGGAAUAUAUCACAAGGGGCGGAAGCAUGAUGCAGCAAGGCCGCGUGCGGGAGGACGGCAUUCGGGUGGUAAACCGCUUUCGCCUGUGAGGAAUCGUGAGUGACGGAACUGGGGAAAGAAGCACCGGCAAACUACGU